AGCGGCGGACGGGUGAGUAAUGCGUGGGAAUAUGCCCUUUGGUAUGGAAUAGCCCCUGGAAACGGGGAGUAAUACCGUAUGUGCCCUACGGGGAAAAGAUUUAUCGCCAAAGGAUUAGCCCAUGUUGGAUUAGCUGGUUGGUGAGGUAAAAGCUCACCAAGGCGACGAUCUAUAGCUGGUUUGAGAGGAUGAUCAGCCACACUGGGACUGAGACACGGCCCAGACUCCUACGGGAGGCAGCAGUGGGGAAUAUUAGACAAUGGGCGAAAGCCUGAUCUAGCCAUGCCGCGUGAGUGAAGAAGGCCCUAGGGUUGUAAAGCUCUUUCAGAUGUGAGGAUGAUGACAGUAAUAUCAGAAGAAGCCCCGGCUAACUUCGUGCCAGCAGCCGCGGUAAUACGAAGGGGGCUAGCGU
Molecule: ribosomal RNA, 412 nt
Filed under: uncultured bacterium
Lineage: Bacteria
Description: bacterial SSU rRNA
Rfam family: Bacterial small subunit ribosomal RNA
Source: RNAcentral